RNAcentral lists this unclassified non-coding RNA (209 nucleotides) under Hevea brasiliensis (rubber tree). Lineage: Eukaryota; Viridiplantae; Streptophyta; Magnoliopsida; Malpighiales; Euphorbiaceae. The record is from RNAcentral.
GAAUUGUUGGAGUCGUAGUUCUUCACCUGCUAUGAACAUGAGAUUUGGAAACAAAUAGGAAAGCAACAAACGCUACAACACUGAGCCCAGACAAUAGCAAAUAAAAGUAAUCAAGAUGCGCCUUGUUCAGAUUGUUGGAAAACCAACUAUUAUUCUGCCCACUGCCUCCAGUUACUUCAUCAAUAAUAGAAACUAAAAGACUGCUUAAA